GUGCUCGCCUGGGCAGCACAUAUACUAAAAUUAGAAGUUCACCCGUACAUGGCCCCUGCCCAAGGAUGACACGCAAAUUCCUGAAGCGUUCCAUAUUUUU
Molecule: small nuclear RNA, 100 nt
Filed under: Urocitellus parryii (Arctic ground squirrel)
Lineage: Eukaryota; Metazoa; Chordata; Mammalia; Rodentia; Sciuridae
Source: RNAcentral